GCCAUCGAAUGAGGCAAGACUACCCGCUGAACUUAAGCAUAUCACUAAGCGGAGGAAAAGAAACUAACCAGGA
RNAcentral lists this ribosomal RNA (73 nucleotides) under Isochrysis galbana. RNAcentral's name for it is "partial 28S ribosomal RNA". It matches the Rfam family "Eukaryotic large subunit ribosomal RNA", at positions 1 to 74 of the family's 3401-position model. Lineage: Eukaryota; Haptophyta; Isochrysidales; Isochrysidaceae. The record is from RNAcentral.